UGACUGAGCGGCGGACGGGUGAGUAACGCGUGGAUAACCUGCCUCACACAGGGGGAUAACAGUUAGAAAUGACUGCUAAUACCGCAUAAGCGCACGGUACCGCAUGGUACAGUGUGAAAAACUCCGGUGGUGUGAGAUGGAUCCGCGUCUGAUUAGGUAGUUGGUGAGGUAACGGCCCACCAAGCCGACGAUCAGUAGCCGACCUGAGAGGGUGACCGGCCACAUUGGGACUGAGACACGGCCCAAACUCCUACGGGAGGCAGCAGUGGGGAAUAUUGCACAAUGGGCGAAAGCCUGAUGCAGCAACGCCGCGUGAGUGAAGAAGUAGUUCGCUAUGUAAAGCUCUAUCAGCAGGGAAGAUAGUGACGGUACCUGACUAAGAAGCUCCGGCUAAAUACGUGCCAGCAGCCGCGGUAAUACGUAUGGAGCAAGCGUUAUCCGGAUUUACUGGGUGUAAAGGGAGUGUAGGUGGCCAGGCAAGUCAGAAGUGAAAGCCCGGGGCUCAACCCCGGGACUGCUUUUGAAACUGCAGGGCUAGAGUGCAGGAGGGGCAAGUGGAAUUCCUAGUGUAGCGGUGAAAUGCGUAGAUAUUAGGAGGAACACCAGUGGCGAAGGCGGCUUGCUGGACUGUAACUGACACUGAGGCUCGAAAGCGUGNGGAGCAAACAGGAUNAGAUACCCUGGUAGUCCACGCCGU
This 697-nucleotide ribosomal RNA is filed under the name uncultured bacterium. RNAcentral's name for it is "bacterial SSU rRNA". It matches the Rfam family "Bacterial small subunit ribosomal RNA", at positions 88 to 803 of the family's 1533-position model. The record is from RNAcentral.